Molecule: ribosomal RNA, 465 nt
Filed under: Vreelandella stevensii
Lineage: Bacteria; Pseudomonadati; Pseudomonadota; Gammaproteobacteria; Oceanospirillales; Halomonadaceae
Description: partial 16S ribosomal RNA
Rfam family: Bacterial small subunit ribosomal RNA
Source: RNAcentral
CCUACGGGUGGCAGCAGUGGGGAAUAUUGGACAAUGGGCGAAAGCCUGAUCCAGCCAUGCUGCGUGUGUGAAGAAGGCCUUCGGGUUGUAAAGCACUUUCAGUGGGGAAGAAAGCCUUGGGGCUAAUACCCUCGAGGAAGGACAUCACCCACAGAAGAAGCACCGGCUAACUCCGUGCCAGCAGCCGCGGUAAUACGGAGGGUGCGAGCGUUAAUCGGAAUUACUGGGCGUAAAGCGCGCGUAGGCGGUCUGAUAAGCCGGUUGUGAAAGCCCCGGGCUCAACCUGGGAACGGCAUCCGGAACUGUCAGGCUAGAGUGCAGGAGAGGAAGGUAGAAUUCCCGGUGUAGCGGUGAAAUGCGUAGAGAUCGGGAGGAAUACCAGUGGCGAAGGCGGCCUUCUGGACUGACACUGACGCUGAGGUGCGAAAGCGUGGGUAGCAAACAGGAUUAGAUACCCUGGUAGUC